RNAcentral lists this ribosomal RNA (254 nucleotides) under uncultured bacterium. Its description in RNAcentral is "partial 16S ribosomal RNA". It matches the Rfam family "Bacterial small subunit ribosomal RNA", at positions 524 to 776 of the family's 1533-position model. The record is from RNAcentral.
UACGUAGGGUGCGAGCGUUGUCCGGAAUUAUUGGGCGUAAAGAGCUCGUAGGCGGUGUGUCGCGUCGGCCGUGAAAACCUGCAGCUUAACUGUGGGCGUGCGGUCGAUACGGGCAUCACUGGAGUUCGGCAGGGGAGACUGGAAUUCCUGGUGUAGCGGUGAAAUGCGCAGAUAUCAGGAGGAACACCGGUGGCGAAGGCGGGUUGCUGGGCUGAUACUGACGCUGAGGCGCGAAAGCCAGGGGAGCGAACGGG